UGUUGACUCAUCUUUAAAAUUGCCUGUGAAUGUUUCCACUUCUCAACAAUGCAUUCUGUUAUUAGUCAAUUUUUUAUAUGAAUUUAAAACCACUGAAAGCUUUCUUUUCUCUUGGUCCAUCUCAUGGUUCAUCUCUCUGCUAACUGUAAAGAAGGGAACAAAGAAGGCUUGUGGGGAGCCAUUCCAAACACACACACACACACACACACACACCUUUAAAUCCUGAUGCACCUUGAGGAUCCGAAAGAUCAUUGUAGUCUGGUGCAAUAGUGGCAUGACUGGUGACUCGGUCUUUUCCCUCAUUCAGAUAAUAACGUGUGGCACUGGGAGUGGCUCUAGGAAUAGGGUGCACCCAGAGGGGUUGAGCUACACUCACCUGUUCCCUUGUAAUCCUACUUCUUGCCUCAUUUGAAUGGCUUCUUCCCAUUAAAAGGGUUUAGCACCUGCUCCUCUCUCUUUCCAUGGACCUCUAAGGUCAGAGGAGCCAUGACAGGACCCAAAGAAAAAGGUAUUUCUGUCUCUGAUUAUUUUUGUGCAGCUCAGUUCACUGGACUGGGUGUUUUAGUCAUGGAAUACAACAGAGACUUACCCAUACAAUGCAGAGGCAAGAAACAAGUGGCUGCCCCUCCUAGCACCAUGUUUAUUUAUCUCCCAAGUUACAUAGCUUGUUGUUACCAUGACUACAUUAUGAUUUAGUCUUCCUUUAAUCCCAAGUGCUAACUAACUGACAUAAGGUCCAGGUUCAUAUAAACACAGAACCCCUUUUCUCUAAGGACAUCACCAUAGAAAUUAGAUAGUGAGCCUGUAUAGUUAUCUUAAUAGCUUCAAAGAGAAAUUGCUGGACAUUCCAAGCACAGGAAACAGAGCGCCAGUAACCGCUGCCCCCCCAGCCCCCAGGAGUUUGUUCACCAGAAGAACGCUUCCCUGUACAUUUCCAUGGUCAGAAUACCUACAGGUAACUCUAUACUAGCUGUGUCUAAUAGUAUUAUUUAAAGUUCUUUAUUUAUACUCAGGUGUCACUUAAACAUUCUGGUAGUUUAUAUUUAGGCUGCCUCACCAUUGCACAUACACCACAGUGUAUCCACACAGUCCUAGAACGAAUAGCUAUUACAUACCUAAGCUGUAUCAUGUCAGUGCUUCCUAGGGUCCAGCCCCACACAGCAUUUCACUUAACAAGCUACCAAAGUUGAUCAUGCAUUACAUUUUUUUGCACCACCAUCACUACAAACACCGCAAUAAUCCCUUUUCUACUGAUAACCAUUUUUAUGUAGCCCAUUAUUAUCCAAAAAUGUCUUUGACCAAAAUAUUGUUAUGUGGCACAUGACUAUAUAUUAUAUAAGCCAAACAGUCUGCUAUCUAGAACAUAUUGACAGGUGUUACAUAUUUCUUAUUCUUAUUGGGCUAGGACAAGUACCUUCUGUUGAUGACUAGAAAUUUGAUUUGUGAAAUGUCAGAAAAGGGUUUAACACUUUUUCCAUUGUAUUUGAUAUUUAAUUGGAGGAUAUUAUAAAUUCUUUAUUCAUGAUUAUUCUUUUAAUUAGUAGGUUACAUUUCAUCUGCAGUAAAGCACCAAUAAAUUCCAAUUGGUUUUCUUGGUGAGCUCAAUCCCCAGUUACCAUGUUAUGACCACCUCAAUGAAAUGUUGUCUACUAAGGAAGUUCUUAGACUCUGUUUUCAGAGGGUUCUUUUUCUUUUUUUAAUGGGUUGGCGAUCAUUGAUCCUG
This 1723-nucleotide long non-coding RNA is filed under the name Marmota monax (woodchuck). Lineage: Eukaryota; Metazoa; Chordata; Mammalia; Rodentia; Sciuridae. The record is from RNAcentral.